Molecule: long non-coding RNA, 241 nt
Organism: Micropterus dolomieu (smallmouth bass)
Lineage: Eukaryota; Metazoa; Chordata; Actinopteri; Centrarchiformes; Centrarchidae
Exons: 3
Source: RefSeq, a predicted model, not a curated record
CUGCUCUACCUCGUAUUUCUACCCACGCAGACCUAAAGCAGGCCACAGUCACCUGCUUCCUCUCACUAUUUAAGCUCUUCCAACACUCUGCGAUCGGCCUCCUGAUGCUCCAAAAGAUCACCCUAGCUUCAGUCUGUCAUUGGCACUCUGAUCCUAUCAGAGUUUACACAAAACAAGUGGAACUGCAGCUGGGGUUGUGGUGGAGUUCAACUGAGCAAAAAUCCGGUCCAGUCGUCGGGAA